Molecule: long non-coding RNA, 666 nt
Organism: Mauremys reevesii (Reeves's turtle)
Lineage: Eukaryota; Metazoa; Chordata; Testudines; Geoemydidae
Exons: 2
Source: RefSeq, a predicted model, not a curated record
UGAAGGUACAAGGCUAGCUGUGUUUCUGUGCGCUGCACAUUUCUCUGUGCAGCUAAGCAGUACAGCAGAACAGUAUGUUGAUGCACACUGAGAUUUCACGGGAAUGCUCCAGAGAGAUCUCUAGGAAACUUUCUUGGAGAUGUGGCCUUCAGGGGAAUCCCCUACACAUUGGCGGAGCACCUCCGCCAGAUAAGAAAGUGGCCAAGAUGGAGCAAGGAGGACAUGUUCUGGUAGAUCAUGUAAUACUCCGAGGCAGAAAAAAGGGAAUGCAGGAAGUGGAGAGAGAUUGAAAGGCAGGACAGAAAAGAAAAUCAGGACUUCAUUAAGGAUGCCACUGAGAGGAUGAAAAAAGGAAUGGAGGAGCAAACAGAUGUGCUUAAGUCCCUCAUAACACUGCAGUCAGAACAGAUGUGUGCCCACCCUUCCCUGCAUUACAUUCAGAACUGUUUUCCAUGCCCCUCUUCCAAAAUGCCACUAGUGCAUUCCCUUACGCUUUCUAGAACUUCUCGCUUUCCCAUUUACUCCAUCCCCUUGGACAGCUUUCAAAAUGAUAGCUGGACCUAUGCAUAGCUCUGAAGCUCUGCCCUUCCCUGAUUCCUACUUUUCCCAUCAAGCAUUUUUGUGUGUGUUUGUUUAAUAAAAACAGAGAAUCUGAAAGAUAACUGA